CCUACGGGGGGCAGCAGUGGGGAAUAUUGGACAAUGGGGGCAACCCUGAUCCAGCCAUGCCGCGUGUGUGAAGAAGGCCCCCGGGUUGUAAAGCACUUUCAGUGAGGAAGAACGCCUGGUGGUUAAUACCCAUCAGGAAAGACAUCACUCACAGAAGAAGCACCGGCUAACUCCGUGCCAGCAGCCGCGGUAAUACGGAGGGUGCGAGCGUUAAUCGGAAUUACUGGGCGUAAAGCGCGCGUAGGUGGCUUGAUAAGCCGGUUGUGAAAGCCCCGGGCUCAACCUGGGAACGGCAUCCGGAACUGUCAAGCUAGAGUGCAGGAGAGGAAGGUAGAAUUCCCGGUGUAGCGGUGAAAUGCGUAGAGAUCGGGAGGAAUACCAGUGGCGAAGGCGGCCUUCUGGACUGACACUGACACUGAGGUGCGAAAGCGUGGGUAGCAAACAGGAUUAGAUACCCCUGUAGUC
This 465-nucleotide ribosomal RNA is filed under the name Vreelandella stevensii. RNAcentral describes it as "partial 16S ribosomal RNA". It matches the Rfam family "Bacterial small subunit ribosomal RNA", at positions 338 to 795 of the family's 1533-position model. The record is from RNAcentral. Lineage: Bacteria; Pseudomonadati; Pseudomonadota; Gammaproteobacteria; Oceanospirillales; Halomonadaceae.